GAUGAAGAACGUAGCGAAAUGCGAUACGUAAUGUGAAUUGCAGAAUUCAGUGAAUCAUCGAAUCUUUGAACGCAUAUUGCGCUCUCUGGUAUUCCGGAGAGCAUGCUUGUUUGAGUAUCAGUAAACACCUCAACUCCCUUUUCUUUUUUGAAAUUGGAGCUGGACUUGAGUGAUCCCAACGCUUUCUUCCAAGAAAGUGGCGGGUUGCUUGAAAUGGAGGUGCAGCUGAACUUUUCUCUGAGCUAUAAGCAUAUCUAUUUAGUCUGCCUAAAAAACAGAUUAUUACCUGUGCUGCAGCUAACAUAAAGGAGACUAGUUCUUGUGCUGACUGAUGCAGGAUUCACAGAGACAGCUUCGGCUGACUUUGUAAACUCGAUCUCAAAUCAAGUAAGACUACCCGCUGAACUUAAGCAUAUCAAUAAGCGGAGGA
This 430-nucleotide unclassified non-coding RNA is filed under the name soil metagenome. Its description in RNAcentral is "partial contains 5.8S ribosomal RNA, internal transcribed spacer 2, and large subunit ribosomal RNA". The stretch from base 1 to 120 matches the Rfam family "5.8S ribosomal RNA", at positions 35 to 154 of the family's 154-position model. The record is from RNAcentral.